RNAcentral lists this ribosomal RNA (422 nucleotides) under uncultured Roseomonas sp. RNAcentral describes it as "bacterial SSU rRNA". It matches the Rfam family "Bacterial small subunit ribosomal RNA", at positions 8 to 456 of the family's 1533-position model. Lineage: Bacteria; Pseudomonadati; Pseudomonadota; Alphaproteobacteria; Acetobacterales; Roseomonadaceae. The record is from RNAcentral.
AGAGUUUGAUCAUGGCUCAGAACGAACGCUGGCGGCAGGCCUAACACAUGCAAGUCGAACGCGCGUAGCAAUACGCGAGUGGCGCACGGGUGAGUAACACGUGGGAACCAACCCUGAGGUUCGGAAUAACCGCGGGAAACUGCGGCUAAUACCGGAUAUCCCCUACGGGGGAAAGAUUUAUCGCCUUGGGACGGGCCCGCGUCCGAUUAGCUAGUUGGUGAGGUAAUGGCUCACCAAGGCUCCGAUCGGUAGCUGGUCUGAGAGGACGACCAGCCACACUGGAACUGAGACACGGUCCAGACUCCUACGGGAGGCAGCAGUGGGGAAUAUUGGGCAAUGGAGGCAACUCUGACCCAGCCAUGCCGCGUGGGUGACGAAGGUCUUCGGAUUGUAAAGCCCUUUCGGCGGGGACGAUGAUGACG